Molecule: unclassified non-coding RNA, 533 nt
Filed under: Hevea brasiliensis (rubber tree)
Lineage: Eukaryota; Viridiplantae; Streptophyta; Magnoliopsida; Malpighiales; Euphorbiaceae
Source: RNAcentral
CUCUACAUCCCUGCUAUCAGUCAGUUCCAUCUUUAAAGUAACAUACAAGAAAAAAAUACAGAGAACAUCCCAUCCUGAAAUUCUAACAGCACCGACCUUUUUUUUUUUUUUUCAAUGUCACAAACUCAAUUUAAGUAAAAAAACAAGUAAUCUACAGUCUCCCUCUCUCAGCCAAAAAAUGAAAAAGAAUUUUUUUCAAAAAAUAAUUGUUAAAAAAAAAAAAUAAAAGGACUGAUUGCUACCAAUGCUAUCCUUCCUCAAGUAUAGAAUUAAGUGGAGCAGCAACCUUUCUUCGUAUUCCCUGUAUCAGCAACAUUAAUAGUGGUUCCUUGACCAGGAAGAGUAGAAUUGCCGGCUGCUUCCUGUGCUGCCAAUGCCUUUUUGCUAAUUAUGUGGUAGAUCUCCGUCAAUAUGGUUUGGAAUGCCUUCUCAAUAUUGGUUGCUUCCAAUGCCGAUGUCUCCAGAAAUGAGAGACCUUCCUUCUCUGCCAAGCUCUGACCAUCCUCCUCUGCAACAGCUCUUAGAUGAUUCAA